AUGCGCGCUGUAACCUGGAAAGGGCCAAAAAAAUUGGAAGACAACUUGUUGUUAGCCCGUGCCGCAACUAAGACCUGCACGUAUGGCUGCAGCUUCACGAAUACCCAGUCACCCACUGAGAAGGAUCUCUCUGAUCUUUUUCUAUCUGCCUGGUCUUUCAUCCGAUGCCGGGAUCUUUCUAGAUGUUGUUUCAGCAAGGCUGUCAUAACCUCCCUCUCCUGGUUCCAACAGUUCAGAUCAGCUGGAGCCACCAUUGAGGCAUUCACAAUCCCAAAAUGGCGAGGGGGUGACCAUAGUGUACCUCAAAAGGAGAAGCCUGCAGCGCGGAGUGUGGCGCUGUGUUGUACCAGAACUCAGCCAGGUGCAGCCAUUGAAACCACCUAUGUGAGCAGGAGUGUACAAAACAGCGCAAGAAAGUCUCCAUACACUGGUUUACUCUCUCUCUGUGGUGCCAUCUGUCUGUGGGUGCUACCUCUUGAGCACUGCGUUGGUUUUCCCUUGAAGAGGAAAGAGUGA
This 516-nucleotide ribosomal RNA is filed under the name Triticum aestivum (bread wheat). RNAcentral describes it as "partial small subunit ribosomal RNA". Lineage: Eukaryota; Viridiplantae; Streptophyta; Magnoliopsida; Poales; Poaceae. The record is from RNAcentral.